UUCACCUCAAGAAAACCACCGCCAGGAAGCCUCGUCGCCCUCGCCGGUGAACGAUCAUCCGGAUCACCUGCCUCCGUUAUGAUUGAUGAGGAAGUCCCCGAUCUCGAAUCUGAGGACCGUGGGAUCUCCGGGGGAGGGCCGAUGAUGUAGGUGGGUUCGAGGAAUGUGGGUUAGGGUUGGAUGCGAGGAUGAUGGGUGUUACUCAUGGUUUGUGUUAUUGUGAGUAUUUGUCAUCCCCAACUUUUCAGAUGUAUCUAUUGUGAUGGCGUGGCAUGAGAUGCAGAGAUUAGGUCUAUCGUUUGGGAAUUUGUCAUGACAAGGUAUGAUCACAAAUCAACGAGAUUCGUUUCUUCGGAAGCUCCAACUUUGCUCUAUUAAUCACUGCUAAGGACAUCUGCUACACGUUCAUUCUAGCCAAUCCAAAGACUCAGUGUCCUAAAUAGAGUUAUAGCGAGGUCUAUGAGAAACUCAGGAUAUCUGAAGUCAGACUUUGGAAGUAAUGCAGUCUAUGCUGGAUGGUGAUUCCUAUUUCCACUCCUUACAGAGAUACUUGGAAUAAGAUGAGUAAUGUCUGCCUUUUGUAUUUCCCUUGAUGAUUUGUACAAUGAUACCAAUAUCUCUUUUUGAUUUUCACAAGUAUAUAAAAGCUUUAUUGUUCAUAUGAGAUAGACAAAUAAUGAGGGAAAAUUUACUGAUGCUGUAAUUUCUGCUGAUAAAUCAAUAAUGGCUGUUGGAAUUUUCUUUUGCUACUUCUCUUAUCAACAUCUUUAAUAUAAUACUGAACCUUCACAUGAUGUUCCUUUGAUUCCUUUCUAUGUGUCCUUUAUUCCCUUAAUUUUGAUUAUUCUGCAUUUUUUUAACAUUUUAGUCCACGAAAUGCUCUUAGGUUAGAAGACCAUGCAACUGACAUGAUUUUGCCUUCAUACCAUUUACCAUCUGUUAUAGCCCCUUUUAUGCUUCAAGCAAGUAAUGGAUUUGUUACACUGAAAAUGUUCUUGACUGUUUCUAUUGGCAAAACUUGAUUAGAAUCCUGCCUCACAUUUGCUCUUUUGGUCCUUUAUUUAAUGUUUGUUUUCUUUCAUUUUUAGUGUCAUAAAUAUUGCUUUGCUGUUUGUAUAAAAGGUUUGUGCUGCUCUAUCUAUGCCUUUGUUUUGUUUUGAACUAUUGUUCUUGAUCUCCUCUCUUGUAUAUGUUAUGCCUCAAUUGAACAUGUUGAAAUUUUAUCUUUUAGUGGAAAGCUACGACUAGUUAAUUUUUGUUCCGCACAAAAAUGAUUGUCCUUUUGUUUUCCCCACAUAUGGAGAUGGUUGUAAAAAAUUAGUAAGCUGUGGUGGAGAAAUAAACUGGGUUUUUAGAAAUGUCUUUGAGGUAAGUUACAUUCACAAGCCGAGAUGUCUAGAAGUUCAGUGUAUAGCAUAUCACUUGGUAAAUUUUGCCUAGCAUCCAGACUACCUGUUGCUUUCUAAGCACCCCCAAGGAGGCCUUUCCUGACGUCAGGAACUCAGGAAAUAAGGUUGGUGUGCACUCCUUUAACCACCACAAGUAAGGCCUCUCAGUUGCUUCUGGCAAUGUCUAGGCAGGUUAAAGAGUCAGUCAGGCCCAAGCUUUAGUUUGCUAUAAUAUUAUCGAUUGCUUCCUGAUCCUGUUGAUCAGCAUUAUAGUUGGUACCAUUGGUGUAACACAUUUUCCAUUGCUAACCACAUCAGUUAUUGCUUGUUUAAUUUCUUGAGGUUGAUCCUGUCUUUGGUUGAGGAGUCAUUUGAUGCAGAAUGUAACUUGCCUGGUCCUAGUGAUACUGCUUUUCAAACUGAUAGGUUGGCUUAAUGAUGCAACUACUUUUGCCCCCGUAAGAACCUUAACAUGAUUCCGUCUCAAGUUGAGGGGCCAUUUGACAGAGAAGCUUGGGAUGCAAAAAUCAAUCUUGCACUAUUGUGUCACAGUUCAUAUGGGGUUCUGAGUUGAACAAUCGAGAGGUACGUUCGUGAAGGGACAUUGUAACCUUUCUUAGCUGGAUUUUUGACAAAGGGUUCUUGUGCACGAAAUGAGCAGUUAUUAACAUUAAUUGUGAUAGCUUAUGUCAAACUGAUCUUCUAGGUUGAGAAGUGUAAGUUUGAGUUGAUGGUAAAUGAUGAGACCAUUAAGGUUUGGCAAUCAUCAAAUUAUCUAUAUUCUUUUGUUAUGUCGUCCUUCAAUCAUGGAGCUUGGUGGUCGCACUGGUAAGGUUUGUUUGUUUAAUACGGGCCAAGACCAUGAUGAGGUUAUUAGGAUUGCAAGCGAGUGAAGUUUGGUAGGAGAAUGCGAGUUUUUAGCCAAGCUUGAUGUCUGAAAUCGGCUUUGAUUUCAGGGAAGUUCAAGUUAAGUUUAGGCCUAGCUCAACAAGAGUGUGUUUAAACUUUUUUGACUUAUCAAAUAAGUGGAGCUGGAGCUUAUGUAUGAAAUGACACAAGUUCGGACUGUGUAAAGAUCUAGUUAUUAUUUAAACCAAAAAAAGUUACCAAAAUUUAACUAAUUUAAUCUGGGUAAAUUUAUAUUAUUUAAUGGGAAAUAAACAAAAAUGUAAAAAUAACUAAUACAUAGGAUCCAUAAUCUACUGUAAUAAAAAAAGAUGAUCUGUCAUGCAUUCUCAUCAAUUCUUCCUUUAUAGUUUCAACAUAAUUUAUAUUGAUUGAUAUCUCACUUUUAAAGAUUCGCAAAAAAUAAAUAUGAGCUUGAUCCACUUGUACAAAAAAAAAAAAGUUUUAAAUUAUUUAAUCAAUAGUAAUGACAUGUCUAGGUAGAU
Musa acuminata AAA Group (dessert banana) is the source of this 2779-nucleotide long non-coding RNA. RefSeq lists it as uncharacterized. The record is from RefSeq and is a predicted model, not a curated record. The transcript has 3 exons. NCBI's taxonomy places the organism in Eukaryota, Viridiplantae, Streptophyta, Magnoliopsida, Zingiberales, Musaceae.